Molecule: long non-coding RNA, 1056 nt
Organism: Manis pentadactyla (Chinese pangolin)
Lineage: Eukaryota; Metazoa; Chordata; Mammalia; Pholidota; Manidae
Exons: 7
Source: RefSeq, a predicted model, not a curated record
UUCCCUUUGGUGACUGUUAGUCCACUCUUGGGUUCUGUGAGUCUGCUGCUGUUUUGUUCCUUCAGUUUCUGCUUUGUUCUUUUACUCCACAGAUGAGUGAAAUCAUCUGAUGCUUGUCUUUCUCCAUCCUGCUCAUUUCACUGAGCAUAAUACCCUCUAGCUCCAUCUGUGUUGUUGCAAACAAACACCAAACUGCCGAGAAAACUGGAACGAAGAAGAGAAGAUGUGAUACAGGAACAUCGAGCCUAAACUGAGAAGUGAGAUGGUGGAGACUGGGAGUAUCUUUCCAUGUGCUGCUUUCAAGGUUCACAGGGAAAAAAGGUUACCACGGAGCAGCCGGAUGUGGAUCCCUGGGUUCCGCAAGUGGCAGGAAUCUCCAGUCUCUCCAAGUACUCCGCCUGUCUUUGCUUUCCAACCCCACCGAUCCUCCAGAGCAUCACGUAAGAGCACCGACCCGCCAAGGAAACUGGAACGAAGAGGAGAAGAUGUGAUACGGGAACCUCGAGCCUAAACUGAGAGCAGCCGGAUGUGGAUCCCUGUGUUCCGCAAGUGGCAGGAAUCUCCAGUCUCUCCAAGUACUCCGCCUGUCUUUGCUUUCCAACCCCACCGAUCCUCCAGAGCAUCACGUAAGAGCACCGACCCGCCAAGGAAACUGGAACGAAGAGGAGAAGAUGUGAUACGGGAACCUCGAGCCUAAACUGAGAGCAGCCGGAUGUGGAUCCCUGUGUUCCGCAAGUGGCAGGAAUCUCCAGUCUCUCCAAGUACUCCGCCUGUCUUUGCUUUCCAACCCCACCGAUCCUCCAGAGCAUCACGUAAGGUAGGUUCGUGCUCCCAGAGCAGAUCUCCAGGGCUGGGUGUUCAGCAGUCCUAGGCCUCCACCCGCCUCCCCGUUUCCGUUUCUCUUCCUCCCUCCGGGGAGCUCGGGUGCGGGAAGGGCCUGCCGGGUCCCUCUGGAUCACGGCUUUGGUACGUCACCCUUCACCUUGAGGUGACGGCCUGCCGCGGCAGCCUCCUCUCCUGCUUCUCUUCCAGGAUCUGGUGUAGUUAUAUUUCCGC